GACGAACGCUGGCGGCGUGCUUAACACAUGCAAGUCGAACGGAAAGGCCCUGCUUUUGUGGGGUGCUCGAGUGGCGAACGGGUGAGUAACACGUGAGUAACCUGCCCUUGACUUUGGGAUAACUUCAGGAAACUGGGGCUAAUACCGGAUAGGAGCUCCUGCUGCAUGGUGGGGGUUGGAAAGUUUCGGCGGUUGGGGAUGGACUCGCGGCUUAUCAGCUUGUUGGUGGGGUAGUGGCUUACCAAGGCUUUGACGGGUAGCCGGCCUGAGAGGGGGACCGGCCACCUUGGGCCUGUGAUGCGACCCAGACUCCUACGGGAGGCAGCAGUGGGGAAUCUUGCACAAUGGGCGGAAGCCUGAUGCAGCAACGCCGCGUGCGGGAUGACGGCCUUCGGGUUGUAAACCGCUUUCGCCUGUGACGAAGCGUGAGUGACGGUAAUGGGUAAAGAAGCACCGGCUAACUACGUG
RNAcentral lists this ribosomal RNA (468 nucleotides) under uncultured bacterium. RNAcentral's name for it is "partial 16S ribosomal RNA". It matches the Rfam family "Bacterial small subunit ribosomal RNA", at positions 28 to 507 of the family's 1533-position model. The record is from RNAcentral.